GACGAACGCUGGCGGCGUGCUUAACACAUGCAAGUCGAGCGAACGGACGAGGCGUUUGUGGGUUGCUCGAUAGGGGAAGAGGGGAGUGAAACGCGUGGAACAUCUCCUUAUCUGUCUGGUAACUUCAGGGAACUGGGGCGAUUACAGGAGAGGAGCUCCUGCUCCAUAUGGGGCAUUGGAAAAAGUCGGCGGUUGGGGAUGGACUCGAGGCUUAUCAGCUGGAUGGUGGGGUAGGGGCGUACAAAGGCUUUGAAGGGUAGCCGGCAUGAGAGGGUGACCGGCCACAUUGCGACUGAGAUACGGCCCAGACUCCUACGGGAGGCAGUAGUGGGGAAUAUUGCACAAUGGGCGGAAGCCUGAUGCAGCAACGCCGCGUGCGGGAUGACGGCCUUCGGGUUGUAAACCGCUUUCGCCUGUGACGAAGCGUGAGUGACGGUAAUGGGUAAAGAAGCACCGGCUAACUACGUG
Molecule: ribosomal RNA, 468 nt
Filed under: uncultured bacterium
Lineage: Bacteria
Description: partial 16S ribosomal RNA
Rfam family: Bacterial small subunit ribosomal RNA
Source: RNAcentral